UUUCCGUUGGUGAACCAGCGGAAGGAUCAUUACAGAGUUCAUGCCCUUCGGGGUAGAUCUCCCACCCUGUGUAUUAUAUACCUUUUGUUGCUUUGGCAGGCCGCCUUCGGGCUCCCGGCUUCGGCUGGGGUGUGCCUGCCAGAGGACCCCAACUCUUUUGUUUAUAUGUCGUCUGAGUACUAUAUAAUAAGUUAAAACUUUCAACAACGGAUCUCUUGGUUCUGGCAUCGAUGAAGAACGCAGC
This 244-nucleotide unclassified non-coding RNA is filed under the name uncultured fungus. Its description in RNAcentral is "sequence contains ITS1, 5.8S rRNA gene". The stretch from base 196 to 244 matches the Rfam family "5.8S ribosomal RNA", at positions 1 to 49 of the family's 154-position model. Lineage: Eukaryota; Fungi. The record is from RNAcentral.